Molecule: long non-coding RNA, 394 nt
Organism: Hibiscus syriacus
Lineage: Eukaryota; Viridiplantae; Streptophyta; Magnoliopsida; Malvales; Malvaceae
Exons: 5
Source: RefSeq, a predicted model, not a curated record
AACGCAGGGUCGUCUUGCCUCGAUCCACAUGUGAAGUUAUGGUUACAAUGCAAGCGUAAAAGGAAGCUCCUCCUGAUAUGCAAUGCAGGACAAAUCCUCCUUCAAAGUGUAAAAGUGAAUGAUGGUGUAACGGCAAAGGAUAUAACUGCAGAAAUGUUCAACAAAGAAGCUGGACGUAGUUGAGGAGUGCAAAUUGAGAAUGGUUUAUGUUUCUCCACCACCAGUUCAAGAAGAAGGGUCGGAGGAGGGAUCUUCAGCGGGAGUCUCUGUUUCAGAUGGCAGGCAUGCAAAUGCUGCUGAGUUUGCUUCGGGUGCAAGAGCAUUUACCGAAGGGCUUGAAGCUCAAGAUAUGUCUUCCGAGGCAAGAGCUCUUGUAACAAACUGACUGAGGAAA